GUAAGAGGAACAGGAGAGUAAGUCACAGGAACAUGGAAGUAAGACAUUGGAAUGGGGGGAUAAGAAGAACAGGGGUAAUAAGACACAGGAACUGGUGUGAUAAGAGGAACAGUGGGGAUAAAAACACGGGGGAGGGGAUAAGAGGAACAGCAGGGAUAAUACACAGGAAUAGAGGGGAAUUUAGGAACAGGGAAGUAAAACGGGGGGAUAAGAGGAAC
Molecule: non-coding RNA, 218 nt
Organism: Pelobates cultripes (western spadefoot toad)
Lineage: Eukaryota; Metazoa; Chordata; Amphibia; Anura; Pelobatidae
Source: the annotation of a GenBank genome assembly